UACGUAGGUUGCAAGCGUUCAUCGUAAUUACUUGUCGUAUAGUGUGCGCAGGCGGUGAUUGAAGACAGGUGUGAAAUCCCCGGGCUUAACCUGGGAACUGCAUUUGUGACUGCAUCGCUGGAGUGCGGCAGAGGGGGAUGGAAUUCCGCGUGUAGCAGUGAAAUGCGUAGAUAUGCGGAGGAACACCGAUGGCGAAGGCAAUCCCCUGGGCCUGCACUGACGCUCAUGCACGAAAGCGUGGGGAGCAAACAGG
RNAcentral lists this ribosomal RNA (253 nucleotides) under uncultured bacterium. RNAcentral's name for it is "partial 16S ribosomal RNA". It matches the Rfam family "Bacterial small subunit ribosomal RNA", at positions 524 to 776 of the family's 1533-position model. The record is from RNAcentral.